AUACGUAUGUCGCAAGCGUUAUCCGGAUUUAUUGGGCGUAAAGCGCGUCUAGGCGGCUUAGUAAGUCUGAUGUGAAAAUGCGGGGCUCAACCCCGUAUUGCGUUGGAAACUGCUAAACUAGAGUACUGGAGAGGUAGGCGGAACUACAAGUGUAGAGGUGAAAUUCGUAGAUAUUUGUAGGAAUGCCGAUGGGGAAGCCAGCCUACUGGACAGAUACUGACGCUAAAGCGCGAAAGCGUGGGUAGCAAACAGGAUUAGGUACCCUGGUAGUCCACGCCGUAAACGAUGAUUACUAGGUGUUGGGGGUCGAACCUCAGCGCCCAAGCUAACGCGAUAAGUAAUCCGCCUGGGGAGUACGUACGCAAGUAUGAAACUCAAAGGAAUUGACGG
RNAcentral lists this ribosomal RNA (390 nucleotides) under uncultured bacterium. RNAcentral's name for it is "partial 16S ribosomal RNA". It matches the Rfam family "Bacterial small subunit ribosomal RNA", at positions 523 to 916 of the family's 1533-position model. The record is from RNAcentral.